This 751-nucleotide ribosomal RNA is filed under the name uncultured bacterium. RNAcentral's name for it is "bacterial SSU rRNA". It matches the Rfam family "Bacterial small subunit ribosomal RNA", at positions 33 to 773 of the family's 1533-position model. The record is from RNAcentral.
ACGCUGGCGGCAGGCCUAACACAUGCAAGUCGAGCGGUAGCACGGGAGAGCUUGCUCUCUGGGUGACGAGCGGCGGACGGGUGAGUAAUGUCUGGGAAGCUGCCUGAUGGAGGGGGAUAACUACUGGAAACGGUAGCUAAUACCGCAUGACCUCGCAAGAGCAAAGUGGGGGACCUUCGGGCCUCACGCCAUCGGAUGUGCCCAGAUGGGAUUAGCUAGUAGGUGAGGUAAUGGCUCACCUAGGCGACGAUCCCUAGCUGGUCUGAGAGGAUGACCAGCCACACUGGAACUGAGACACGGUCCAGACUCCUACGGGAGGCAGCAGUGGGGAAUAUUGCACAAUGGGCGCAAGCCUGAUGCAGCCAUGCCGCGUGUGUGAAGAAGGCCUUAGGGUUGUAAAGCACUUUCAGCGAGGAGGAAGGCGUUGUAGUUAAUAGUUGCAGCGAUUGACGUUACUCGCAGAAGAAGCACCGGCUAACUCCGUGCCAGCAGCCGCGGUAAUACGGAGGGUGCAAGCGUUAAUCGGAAUUACUGGGCGUAAAGCGCACGCAGGCGGUUUGUUAAGUCAGAUGUGAAAUCCCCGAGCUUAACUUGGGAACUGCAUUUGAAACUGGCAAGCUAGAGUCUUGUAGAGGGGGGUAGAAUUCCAGGUGUAGCGGUGAAAUGCGUAGAGAUAGGGAGGAAUACCGGUGGCGAAGGCGGCCCCCUGGACAAAGACUGACGCUCAGGUGCGAAAGCGUGGGGAGCAAAC